AGUCGAGGGGCAGCACGAGGUAGCAAUACUUUGGUGGCGACCGGCGCACGGGUGAGUAACGCGUAUGCAACCUACCCUGUACAGGGGGAUAGCCCGGAGAAAUUCGGAUUAAUACCCCAUAACGAUAUGAAGAGGCAUCUUUUUAUAUUUAAAGCUUCGGCGGUACGGGAUGGGCAUGCGUGACAUUAGCUAGUUGGUAAGGUAACGGCUUACCAAGGCUUCGAUGUCUAGGGGUCCUGAGAGGGUGAUCCCCCACACUGGUACUGAGACACGGACCAGACUCCUACGGGAGGCAGCAGUGAGGAAUAUUGGUCAAUGGGCGUAAGCCUGAACCAGCCAUCCCGCGUGAAGGAAGAAGGCGCUAUGCGUCGUAAACUUCUUUUCCAGAGGAAUAAAAUUUUGUACGAGUACGGAACUGAAGGUACUCUGGGAAUAAGCAUCGGCUAACUCCGUGCCAGCAGCCGCGGUAAUACGGAGGAUGCAAGCGUUAUCCGGAUUUAUUGGGUUUAAAGGGUGCGUAGGCGGAUUAAUAAGUCAGUGGUGAAAACCUUCAGCUUAACUGGAGAACUGCCAUUGAUACUGUUAGUCUUGAGUACGGUCAAGGUAGGCGGAAUGUGUAAUGUAGCGGUGAAAUGCUUAGAUAUUACACAGAACACCGAUUGCGAAGGCAGCUUACUGGGCCAUUACUGACGCUGAGGCACGAAAGCGUGGGGAGCGAACAGGAUUAGAUACCCUGGUAGUCCACGCCGUAAACGAUGAUCACUCGCUGUUGGCGAUACACAGUCAGCGGCUAAGCAAAAGCAUUAAGUGAUCCACCUGGGGAG
This 824-nucleotide ribosomal RNA is filed under the name uncultured bacterium. RNAcentral's name for it is "bacterial SSU rRNA". It matches the Rfam family "Bacterial small subunit ribosomal RNA", at positions 60 to 880 of the family's 1533-position model. The record is from RNAcentral.